GGCGAGGUAGUUCAGCGGUAGAACGCGAGUCUCAUAAGCUCGAUGUUGUGGGUUCAACUCCCACCCUCGCCA
This 72-nucleotide transfer RNA is filed under the name Candidatus Woesearchaeota archaeon. Its description in RNAcentral is "tRNA-Met". It matches the Rfam family "tRNA". From Rfam's summary of the family: Transfer RNA (tRNA) molecules are approximately 80 nucleotides in length. Lineage: Archaea; Nanobdellati; Candidatus Woesearchaeota. The record is from RNAcentral.